Molecule: ribosomal RNA, 452 nt
Filed under: Donacia ozensis
Lineage: Eukaryota; Metazoa; Arthropoda; Insecta; Coleoptera; Chrysomelidae
Description: partial 16S ribosomal RNA
Source: RNAcentral
GUCUUAUUGGUAAAUAAUUUUAAGUCUUGUCUGCCCACUGUUAUGUGAAUAAAUGGCCGCAGUAAUUUGACUGUGCUAAGGUAGCAUAAUCAUUAGUUUUUUAAUUGAAAGCUGGAAUGAAUGAUAAUAUAAGAAAAUAUCUGUCUCUUUUAUAAAAUUAAAAUUUUAUUUUUAAGUAAAAAAGCUUAAAUAAAAUUAAAAGACGAGAAGACCCUAUAGAAUUUAAUAAAAAUUAAUUUUUAAUUUAUUAGAAAUUAAAAUUUAAAAAUUAAUUUUUAUUUAGUUGGGGUGAUUAGAAAAUAAAAAAAUCUUUUUUUUAUAAAACCAUUGAUUUAUGAUUAUAUGAUUCAUUAUUAUGAUUUAAGAGUAAAUUACCUUAGGGAUAACAGCGUAAUUUUUUUUAAAAGUUCAAAUUAAAAAAAAAGAUUGCGACCUCGAUGUUGGAUUAAAAU